This 402-nucleotide ribosomal RNA is filed under the name uncultured bacterium. Its description in RNAcentral is "partial 16S ribosomal RNA". It matches the Rfam family "Bacterial small subunit ribosomal RNA", at positions 355 to 774 of the family's 1533-position model. The record is from RNAcentral.
UGGGGAAUAUUGGACAAUGGGCGAAAGCCUGAACCAGCCAUGCCGCAUGAGUGAAGAAGGCCUUUGGGUUGUAAAGCUCUUUUAGUGAGGAAGAUAAUGACGGUACUCACAGAAGAAGUCCUGGCUAACUCCGUGCCAGCAGCCGCGGUAAUACGGAGAGGGCUAGCGUUAUUCGGAAUUAUUGGGCGUAAAGGGCGCGUAGGCUGGUUAAUAAGUUAAAAGUGAAAUCCCGAGGCUUAACCUUGGAAUUGCUUUUAAAACUAUUAAUCUAGAGAUUGAAAGAGGAUAGAGGAAUUCCUGAUGUAGAGGUAAAAUUCGUAAAUAUUAGGAGGAACACCGGUGGCGAAGGCGUCUAUCUGGUUCAAAUCUGACGCUGAAGCGCGAAGGCGUGGGGAGCAAACA